This 376-nucleotide ribosomal RNA is filed under the name uncultured bacterium. RNAcentral's name for it is "bacterial SSU rRNA". It matches the Rfam family "Bacterial small subunit ribosomal RNA", at positions 976 to 1352 of the family's 1533-position model. The record is from RNAcentral.
UAGGUUUGACAUGGACGUGGUAUCCGGGGCGAAAGCUUUGGAGACCCGCAAGGGAGCGUUCACAGGUGCUGCAUGGCUGUCGUCAGCUCGUGUCGUGAGAUGUUCGGUUAAGUCCGGCAACGAGCGCAACCCUCGCCUCCAGUUACCAGCGAGUAAAGUCGGGGACUCUGGAGGGACUAACCCUUUUGGGUGGGAAGGUGGGGAUGACGUCAAGUCAGUAUGGCCCUUACAUCUAGGGCUGCACACGUGCUACAAUGCCUGGUACAAAAGGAACCAAGACCGCGAGGUGGAGGAAAUCCCGAAAGCCAGGCCCAGUUCAGAUUGAAGUCUGCAACUCGACUUCAUGAAGCCGGAAUCGCUAGUAAUGGUAGAUCAG